Molecule: long non-coding RNA, 692 nt
Organism: Solanum dulcamara
Lineage: Eukaryota; Viridiplantae; Streptophyta; Magnoliopsida; Solanales; Solanaceae
Exons: 2
Source: RefSeq, a predicted model, not a curated record
UAUGUUUGUAUUUCCUCUAUAAAUACUAGAGAAGCUAAGCUUAUUUUCACAUACAUCAACCAAAUAACAAGAUCAACUCUAGUGCAAAUUAACUCUCUCAAUGGCAUUGAAAGUUGUUGUAGUGUUGUUCCUUGCAAUGAUUGUUUUUACAGAUCAUAAGUGUGUGGCUGGCCAAUUUUGUGGUAGGAUGUCUUACAAAAUUCAAAAGUGCUGAAAGCUUUAUUGCCUCGUUGAUUGUAACAUGCCAUGUCCGCCACAAUGUAUAACAAAAUUAUCAGCUUCACGUGAUAUUAAGGGCUUACUUUUGUGUGUUGGCGGUUGCCUUUCGCCAUUUACAACAAUUUCUGAUGAAGUUGCAACUUUAAUCCCUACUACAACUGUUUGUAACAUUGGAUGUUUUCUUCUUAUCGAUUUCUUUAUAUUAUGCGUCUGGUUGCAGGGUCAGUAAUGUUUCAUAGGUGAAGACGAAGAUGAGUCUCCAACAGCUUCUAUUCUUCAUUCCUUUUUUAUGGGAGCUGUCUCUUGCUUUUAUUUAUACUUUGUAUCUCUAGAAGCUCUUGUACCUAUUUAGACUAGUAUUCUUGGGUGUGUUAAGUGUCUCUUGUAAUAAACCUUAGAAUUUAAAAAAAUCAAUUUUGGUGUAUUCCUGACUCUUGUAGUAUUUAUAAUGGUAUUUAUUAAACUUCCGCAUG